ACUCCUACGGGAGGCAGCAGUGGGGAAUUUUGGACAAUGGGCGAAAGCCUGAUCCAGCAAUGCCGCGUGAGUGAAGAAGGCCUUCGGGUUGUAAAGCUCUUUUGUCAGGGAAGAAACGGUGAGAGCUAAUAUCUCUUGCUAAUGACGGUACCUGAAGAAUAAGCACCGGCUAACUACGUGCCAGCAGCCGCGGUAAUACGUAGGGUGCAAGCGUUAAUCGGAAUUACUGGGCGUAAAGCGUGCGCAGGCGGUUUUGUAAGUCUGAUGUGAAAUCCCCGGGCUCAACCUGGGAAUUGCAUUGGAGACUGCAAGGCUAGAAUCUGGCAGAGGGGGGUAGAAUUCCACGUGUAGCAGUGAAAUGCGUAGAUAUGUGGAGGAACACCGAUGGCGAAGGCAGCCCCCUGGGUCAAGAUUGACGCUCAUGCACGAAAGCGUGGGGAGCAAACAGGAUUAGAUACCCCGGUAGUCCCAUGAU
Molecule: ribosomal RNA, 475 nt
Filed under: uncultured organism
Description: partial 16S ribosomal RNA
Rfam family: Bacterial small subunit ribosomal RNA
Source: RNAcentral